GUCGACCCCAGAGAACCAGGCUUCGACGCGCGAUCCAUUAUCGUGCAAGGCUUGGUCGACUGGAACAGAGCCCAUCGAGGUGGACUCGACAGAGAUGCGCCUACGAGCAGUCGAGUGCACGUUUCUGGUCCGGAAUGUUUCAGCAGAGCUAUCAGAGCCGCAGUGAUUCCUCCCAAUUUCAGGUUGGCAACAGGAGUCAGCAAGUUCACCGGUGAGUCUAAGCCUGAAACUUGGCUUGAGGACUACCGAGUGGCAGUUCAGAUUGGUGGUGGGAAUGACGAGGUGGCCAUGAAGCAUUUGCCCCUCAUGUUGGAAGGUUCUGCCAGAGCGUGGUUGAAUCAGUUACCUCCUAGCAGCAUUUACACUUGGGAAGAUCUGUCCCGAGUGUUCGUC
This 393-nucleotide ribosomal RNA is filed under the name Triticum aestivum (bread wheat). Its description in RNAcentral is "partial small subunit ribosomal RNA". Lineage: Eukaryota; Viridiplantae; Streptophyta; Magnoliopsida; Poales; Poaceae. The record is from RNAcentral.